Molecule: transfer RNA, 55 nt
Filed under: Ascaridia sp. GHL-2013
Lineage: Eukaryota; Metazoa; Nematoda; Chromadorea; Rhabditida; Ascaridiidae
Description: tRNA-Ser
Source: RNAcentral
GAACUAUGUUUGGAACUUUGAAAGUUCUAUGGGGAGUUUAUAGCUCUGUAGUUUU